Molecule: long non-coding RNA, 409 nt
Organism: Gasterosteus aculeatus aculeatus (three-spined stickleback)
Lineage: Eukaryota; Metazoa; Chordata; Actinopteri; Perciformes; Gasterosteidae
Source: RefSeq, a predicted model, not a curated record
AACACAACAUAUAAUACCACUCUUUUAUGCUGUAAACCAACCGGCCAAUCCGGAAGUUGUUGUUGGAUCGCACCUCUUACUGCGCUACUACUCAGAAAGCCUUCCGCCGAUGUAAAGGCACUGAAAACUACGGACUUAAUGCUACAACAAGUAUCCUUGUUGCUUUGUGCAGGCCAGCAUGAGUCCACGUUGUCCAGACGCAGCCAACAUGUCUACCCAGUGGACAUUUAUGUCACACCAGUGACAGGCACAUCAACACACAAUGGGGCCUUCAUGUUACUUAUCACACCUGUACUUUUCCUGCUCAGGCAGAACAACUCUGUGCUGUAAAAACAGGCCAGCAAUGGUAUUGUUGGAUUUUGACGCGAAUGAAGUAAGACGGAAUUUAAUUAAACAUGCUUAAAGCCUA